This 1584-nucleotide long non-coding RNA is filed under the name Physcomitrium patens. RNAcentral's name for it is "long non-coding RNA (PPAT_LNC008031)". The record is from RNAcentral. Lineage: Eukaryota; Viridiplantae; Streptophyta; Bryopsida; Funariales; Funariaceae.
CUUGCCUUUAUUUAAAAUAAAAGCAAAAAUUAGAAGGAAGCUGAAUGGGUGCAUCAGUGAAUGAUGAAGUGGGCCUGCGCUUCGAUCCCAAAAGUUCUCAUUCUCAUCAUCUGAAAUUCAGAAUAUGGCAUCUCAAGAAAGCGCUGCCCCGUGACGCAGAGCCGUGGUGUUUUUUCUUUUUAAUACGCUACUGACAAGGCUGGCCCGGCUCAUGCGUGCCCACUCCGUCAUUUGGAAAGGUGUAGAUUGUACCCGCACGAUGGAGGCUCACGAUCUGAUCAGUACAAAAUUUCCAGUCCCAGCUAAACUCGUCACUGCAGCUAGACAAACCUAAGUGUGAGGGAGAAGCACGUUUUCUUUUUUCUUUUUUCUUCUUUCUUCAUACUUUCAUAUUUAAAUAAUUACAUUGAAAUUAUUGAGGUGUUUCUCUUCAAAUGGCUAGAUUAAGCUUCUGAGCGAACAAUGGUGAAGACUGGGCAAGUAGGCACGCCAUGGGGUUGGGUGCGCGAUCUCCAACCCGCCACCGGAUGUUCACGAUGAGAUCACAAAAGAUGGCAUCUGCUUUGACUGGUCUAAGCCAACGUCUAUUCACAAACAGAUGGACAGAUAAUUGACCAGUGACGCAAGAGAUUCGAGAUGCACUUCCAACCCUCCGUUCCGGUAUAACGUUGAGGGCAGCAACGGAUACAGCGUCGUCUUAACACACCCUCUCCUCCUACCUAUAAUAAUAACUCACACAGGCCGAAGAAAGCCCCAUCUAUUCUUCCAUCUGCCAGUGAAACCAAAAGUCCUUUUUUCUACCCACUGAUUACGUCCAUAGGGCUGGAGCGUUGUCGAUGAAAGCUGCAACCAUGUGUCAGGCCUCAAUCCAGGUGCAGCAGGACAUAUUCUCGCAGCCAUCAUGUAGGAGUGGACAGGACUAGAUUUCAGCGCUGCAGUGCCCAACAAAUUCCCACCCCUCACUACCUUCCGCUUCUUCGUCCUUCUCCCUCCCUUCCCUUCCUUGCCCAUUCUCAGGUUAUCUCCGUUCUGACUCACGGAGCUCAGUACAGCUUUUUCCCGCAUCGCGAGCUAGUCCACCUAUCGCCGCGCCCCACCUUGCUGAGCUGCAGUCAGCGGCAACGGACGCGCUUCCCAUUCGUGGCUGGUGCUGCCAUCGCCUGGUUCGAGGCCGGCAGCGACGCCGCCUUACUCUGCUUGCUGCAGUAGCACCACCACCAUCACCAUCGCCACUAGCUUCCAUUCUAUCUCGCCACCGUUGCUUCAUUCCUUGCUUCCUCUGCUUGCUAGCUUCUAUGUUUGUUUAUAUGUUUACUUAUCUAUCCAUCUGUCUGUCUACCUAUCUAUCUAUCUAUCUAUCUAUCUAGUGUACUCUUUUGUGUUUUGUGUUUUUAUUUUAUUUUAUUACAGAUUGGUGAAGUGGGUGUGGUGGCGCAGUGAGAAGGUGCGAGGUAGCCAUCGAUUUCCAAGGCCACCCACCGUCCAGCUCCGUGCACCCUGGUGGUGGUAGUGGCGUCACAUCCUCUAGUAAAACUUUGUCUCUCUCUAUAUAUCUUUAUAUCUAUCUAUUUAUUUACCUAAUUU